UACGUAGGGGGCGAGCGUUGUCCGGAAUCAUUGGGCGUAAAGCGCGUGUAGGCGGCCCGAUAAGUCCGCUGUGAAAGUCCAGGGCUCAACCCUGGGAUGCCGGUGGAUACUGUCGGGCUCGAGUCCGGAAGAGGCGAGUGGAAUUCCUGGUGUAGCGGUGAAAUGCGCAGAUAUCAGGAGGAACACCAAUGGCGAAGGCAGCACUCUGGGACGUGACUGGCGCUGAGACGCGAAAGCGUGGGGAGCAAACAGG
Molecule: ribosomal RNA, 253 nt
Filed under: uncultured bacterium
Lineage: Bacteria
Description: partial 16S ribosomal RNA
Rfam family: Bacterial small subunit ribosomal RNA
Source: RNAcentral